GAUGAAGAACGCAGCGAAAUGCGAUAAGUAGUGUGAAUUGCAGAAUUCAGUGAAUCAUCGAAUCUUUGAACGCACAUUGCGCCCCUUGGUAUUCCAUGGGGCAUGCCUGUUCGAGCGUCAUUUGUACCUUCAAGCUCUGCUUGGUGUUGGGUGUUUGUCUCGCCUCUGCGUGUAGACUCGCCUCAAAACAAUUGGCAGCCGGCGUAUUGAUUUCGGAGGGCAGUACAUCUCGCGCUUUGCACUCAUAACGACGACGUCCAAAAGUACAUUUUUACACUCUUGACCUCGGAUCAGGUAGGGAUACCCGCUGAACUUAAGCAUAUCAAUAAGCGGAGGA
RNAcentral lists this unclassified non-coding RNA (337 nucleotides) under soil metagenome. RNAcentral describes it as "partial contains 5.8S ribosomal RNA, internal transcribed spacer 2, and large subunit ribosomal RNA". The stretch from base 1 to 120 matches the Rfam family "5.8S ribosomal RNA", at positions 35 to 154 of the family's 154-position model. The record is from RNAcentral.